This 1495-nucleotide ribosomal RNA is filed under the name uncultured Bacteroides sp. RNAcentral describes it as "bacterial SSU rRNA". It matches the Rfam family "Bacterial small subunit ribosomal RNA". Lineage: Bacteria; Pseudomonadati; Bacteroidota; Bacteroidia; Bacteroidales; Bacteroidaceae. The record is from RNAcentral.
CACGGAUCCAGAGUUUGAUCCUGGCUCAGGAUGAACGCUAGCUACAGGCUUAACACAUGCAAGUCGAGGGGCAGCACAGUGUAGCAAUACACGGGUGGCGACCGGCGCACGGGUGCGUAACGCGUAUCCAACCUUCCCGUUACUCUUGGAUAGCCUUCCGAAAGGGAGAUUAAUACAGGAUGGUGUUUGAAUUCCGCAUGUUAUUCAAACUAAAGAUUUAUCGGUAACGGAUGGGGAUGCGUGACAUUAGGUAGAUGGCGGGGUAACGGCCCACCAUGCCCACGAUGUCUAGGGGUUCUGAGAGGAAGGUCCCCCACACUGGAACUGAGACACGGUCCAGACUCCUACGGGAGGCAGCAGUGAGGAAUAUUGGUCAAUGGCCGGAAGGCUGAACCAGCCAAGUAGCGUGAAGGAUGAAGGUUCUAUGGAUUGUAAACUUCUUUUAUACGGGAAUAAAACCACCUACGUGUAGGUGCUUGUAUGUACCGUAUGAAUAAGCAUCGGCUAACUCCGUGCCAGCAGCCGCGGUAAUACGGAGGAUGCGAGCGUUAUCCGGAUUUAUUGGGUUUAAAGGGAGCGUAGACGGGGUGUUAAGUCAGUUGUGAAAGGCUGCGGCUCAACCGCAGCACUGCAGUUGAUACUGGCGUCCUUGAGUGCGGUUGAGGUAUGUGGAAUUCGUGGUGUAGCGGUGAAAUGCUCAGAUAUCACGAAGAACUCCGAUUGCGAAGGCAGCAUACUAAGCCGCUACUGACGUUGAGGCUCGAAAGUGUGGGUAUCAAACAGGAUUAGAUACCCUGGUAGUCCACACGGUAAACGAUGAAUACUCGCUGUUGGCGAUACAAUGUCAGCGGCCAAGCGAAAAGCAUUUAAGUAUUCCACCUGGGGAGUACGCCGGCAACGGUGAAACUCAAAGGAAUUGACGGGGGCCCGCACAAGCGGAGGAACAUGUGGUUUAAUUCGAUGAUACGCGAGGAACCUUACCCGGGCUUAAAUUGCACUGGACAGGCUCAGAGAUGGGCUCUUCUUCGGACCAGUGUGAAGGUGCUGCAUGGUUGUCGUCAGCUCGUGCCGUGAGGUGUCGGCUUAAGUGCCAUAACGAGCGCAACCCUUGCCGUUAGUUACUAACAGGUUAUGCUGAGGACUCUAGCGGGACUGCCAUCGUAAGAUGUGAGGAAGGUGGGGAUGACGUCAAAUCAUCAUGCCCCUUAUGCUUAGGGCUACACACGUGCUACAAUGGGUGGUACAGAGGGCAGCCAAGUCGUGAGGCGGAGCUAAUCCCUUAAAGCCAUUCUCAGUUCGGAUUGUAGGCUGAAACUCGCCUACAUGAAGCUGGAGUUACUAGUAAUCGCAGAUCAGAAUGCUGCGGUGAAUGCGUUCCCGGGUCUUGUACACACCGCCCGUCACACCAUGGGAGUUGGGGGCGCCCGGAGCCGGUUAGCUAACCUUUUGGAAGCGGCCGUCGAAGGUGAAACCAAUAACUGGGGUGAAGUCGUAA